RNAcentral lists this ribosomal RNA (253 nucleotides) under uncultured bacterium. RNAcentral's name for it is "partial 16S ribosomal RNA". It matches the Rfam family "Bacterial small subunit ribosomal RNA", at positions 524 to 776 of the family's 1533-position model. The record is from RNAcentral.
UACGUAGGGUGCGAGCGUUGUCCGGAAUUACUGGGCGUAAAGGGCUCGUAGGCGGUCUGUCGCGUCGGGAGUGAAAACACGGGGCUUAACCCCGUGCCUGCUUCCGAUACGGGCAGACUAGAGGUAUGCAGGGGAGAACGGAAUUCCUGGUGUAGCGGUGAAAUGCGCAGAUAUCAGGAGGAACACCGGUGGCGAAGGCGGUUCUCUGGGCAUUACCUGACGCUGAGGAGCGAAAGUGUGGGGAGCGAACAGG